Molecule: ribosomal RNA, 468 nt
Filed under: uncultured bacterium
Lineage: Bacteria
Description: partial 16S ribosomal RNA
Rfam family: Bacterial small subunit ribosomal RNA
Source: RNAcentral
GACGAACGCUGGCGGCGUGCUUAACACAUGCAAGUCGAACGGAAAGGCCCUGCUUUUGUGGGGUGCUCGAGUGGCGAACGGGUGAGUAACACGUGAGUAACCUGCCCUUGACUUUGGGAUAACUUCAGGAAACUGGGGCUAAUACCGGAUAGGAGCUCCUGCUGCAUGGUGGGGGUUGGAAAGUUUCGGCGGGUGGGGAUGGACUCGCGGCUUAUCAGCUUGUUGGUGGGGGAGUGGCUUACCAAGGCUUUGACGGGUAGCCGGCCUGAGAGGGUGACCGGCCACAUUGGGACUGCGAGACGGCCCAGACUCCUACGGGAGGCAGCAGUGGGGAAUAUUGCACAAUGGGCGGAAGCCUGAUGCAGCAACGCCGCGUGCGUGAUGACGGUCUUCGGGUUGUAAACCGCUUUCGCCUGUGACGAAGCGUGAGUGACGGUAAUGGGUAAAGAAGCACCGGCUAACUACGUG